CUAGAAAAUUCACACUUUUUAUUAUUGUUAUUACUCUAGGAAUUCUAGUCUUAUUUGGCAAACUAAAAGGUUUAUAUUAGUUUAUUAUCUUGGUUGGGAUGAUCAGAAAACUUAAACCUGAACCUGAACUCAGGUGAAGUUUUAGCCAAAAACAAAAGAAAAACUUUUUUGGUUUUUUUUAAAGGGCCACAGGUACAGCAUGUGGAAGUUCCCGGGCUAGGGGUCAAAUCGAAGCUUCAGCUCCUGGCCUACACCACAGCCACAGCAAAGCCAGAUUCGAGCCACAUCUGCUACCAACAACACAGCUCAUGGCAAUGCUGGAUCCUUAACCCACUGAGAGGGGCUAGGGGUCUAACCUGCAUCCUCAUGGAUAUUAGUUUCAUUUCUGCCGAGCCACGUUGGGAACGCCCAGAAAAACUGUUUGUUUUUUGGUUUUUUGGGGUUUUUUUUUGUCUUUUUAGGGCCGCACUUGCAGCAGAUGGAAGUUCCAGGUUAGGAGUUGAAUCAGAAGCUGCAGCUGCUGGCCUACACCACAGCCACAGCAACGCAGGAUCCAAGCCACAUCUGUGACCUACACCACAGUUCAUGGCAAUGCCAGAUCCUUAAUCCACUGAGUGAGGCCAGGGAUCAAACCUGCGUCCUAGUAAGAUUUGUUUCUGCUGAGCCACGAUGGGAACUCCCAGAAAAACUGUUUUAAUUUGCCUUCUAAAAGUUCCUAACACCUAUAUAAAAUUCUUAACACUUGAAAAAUUUGUAAAUUUAUGAUUAUUAUUUACCAUAAAUGAAUCUUCCUGAUUAUUUUCUUAAUGUUAGCAAAAUGCCUUCAAAAUUUACUGCUUCUACUACAGUUAGUGAAUGUUCAGUGUAGUUUAUAAAUGCUUAUUUAAAUGAAGAGAUAGGAAGAAAAGGAAGAGACCAAGUUCCUAGCUACAUUCCGUCAUAAACUAGUGGUAUGAUCUAGGGGCCAGUUCGUUUUUUCAUGCUUAAAAUGUCUUUUGUUCAGCAUUCAGAGAUAAAUCGUAAAGGUAAAAACUAGGUCUUAUAUACAAAGCACUGAAAAUAAUUUAAAGUGUUACAUGACUUUUAAAAUAGUUUUGUUAUCAGCAUCAUUUUAAAUGGAUGAAUAGCAUAAACUGAAGAUUUUUAGUUUAGGGAAGAUAAGGCAGAAGUGAUAAAGCAAAAGAGUCUUCUGUUAUUUGAGGUCUGCUCAUUUGAUCUGGAGGACAGACUUUAAAAACUGAUGGAAAUUACAGUCCAAUAGUUUUCAGUGUAACAUAAAAAACAACUGUCUACAACAGUGGAGCAGAUGGCCUUGUGAGAGAGUGAUCCAACCAUCCAUGAGGGCGUGCAUGCCAAGUUCCUAUACUGAUUGUCUGAGAUGCCUCUUGUGACAUUAGCUGCUAUAAUUUAUUAUGGGACCAAGAACUCUUUAAAAUCCGUUCCAAUUAUCAAAGCUUUUGUUUCUGUGUCCAUCCAAGAAAACUAAUCAAUGAAUUUUGUGGCAGUUAAUUCCAUUGCCUAUGUUUAUGACAUGAUAUAUCAGUUGGAAAAAUAUGUUCACUUAGGUGUGCUAUAAAGAUCAUAGUGUAUUCUCCAGAGAACAGUGAUAUUCCUAGGGAAAGGGAGGGCUGUAUGCUUAGUAGGGUUUCCUUAAGCCUCCCAAAACUGCCUUCACUAAGCUGUACUUCGCUUCUAUGCACUUGGCCAUAGACAAUCUUUUGAUGGUAGCAAUAGAAGUCCAAUUAAAGGUAGUAUAUACUGUAUUACAUUAUACUGUGUUCAUUUUUUAAUUUUUAUUUUUAUUGAAGUAUAGUUGAUUUACAGUGUUCUGUCAAUUUCUGCUGUACAGUAUAGUGACACACACACACACACAUUCUUUUUCUCAUACUACAUUUAGAAUGGAUAAGAAAUGAGACCCUACUGUACAUCCAGUAUCUUGGGAUAGAAUAUGAAUAUGCAGUGUCCUUUUCUCUGCUUGAGAAAUACACUUCAAAUUUAAAGUCAAGAAAAGGCUUUCCUUUUCUGAGGAACUAGAAUAUUUGCUUAUUC
RNAcentral lists this long non-coding RNA (2049 nucleotides) under Sus scrofa (pig). Its description in RNAcentral is "lncRNA (ENSSSCG00015024343.1)". Lineage: Eukaryota; Metazoa; Chordata; Mammalia; Artiodactyla; Suidae. The record is from RNAcentral.